Molecule: non-coding RNA, 234 nt
Organism: Pelobates cultripes (western spadefoot toad)
Lineage: Eukaryota; Metazoa; Chordata; Amphibia; Anura; Pelobatidae
Source: the annotation of a GenBank genome assembly
GCAAAGCCUGUUCUCAAGUAAAUACAGACAAGGUUACAUCAUAUAGCAGCUCCGUUACAGGGAAACAGUUUUCUAUUAAAUCAGAGAUUGGCUGCCGCUCGGACUGUGUUGUGUAUUUGCUUCAGUGCCCAUGCGGCAGCCAAUAUGUUGGUCGUACAAAGAGAUGUCUAAAAGUGAGACUUUUGGAACAUAUUAACAACAUAAAGAAAAAAUUAGAUACUCAUUCAGUCCCCC